Molecule: small nuclear RNA, 87 nt
Filed under: Tetraodon nigroviridis (spotted green pufferfish)
Lineage: Eukaryota; Metazoa; Chordata; Actinopteri; Tetraodontiformes; Tetraodontidae
Source: RNAcentral
GUGUUACUUUGGUCGCACAUAUACUAAAAUUGGAACGAUACAGAGAAGAUUAGCGACGUGCAAAUUCGUGAAGCAAAUACAACCUAA